ACGGGAGGCAGCAGUGGGGAAUAUUGGGCAAUGGGCGUAAGCCUGACCCAGCGACGCCGCGUGAGUGAAGAAGUAUUUCGGUAUGUAAAGCUCUAUCAGCAGGGAAGAUAAUGACGGUACCUGACUAAGAAGCCCCGGCUAACUACGUGCCAGCAGCCGCGGUAAUACGUAGGGGGCAAGCGUUAUCCGGAUUUACUGGGUGUAAAGGGCGCGUAGGCGGGGAUGCAAGUCAGAUGUGAAAUCCAUGGGCUCAACCCAUGAACUGCAUUUGAAACUGUAUCUCUUGAGUGCUGGAGAGGUAGAUGGAAUUCCUAGUGUAGCGGUGAAAUGCGUAGAUAUUAGGAAGAACACCAGUGGCGAAGGCGAUCUACUGGACAGUAACUGACGCUGAGGCGCGAAAGCGUGGGGAGCAAACAGGAUUAGAUACCCUGGUA
Molecule: ribosomal RNA, 434 nt
Filed under: uncultured Lachnospiraceae bacterium
Lineage: Bacteria; Bacillati; Bacillota; Clostridia; Lachnospirales; Lachnospiraceae
Description: bacterial SSU rRNA
Rfam family: Bacterial small subunit ribosomal RNA
Source: RNAcentral